AGUGAACGCUGGCGGUAGGCCUAACACAUGCAAGUCGAACGGCAGCACAGUAAGAGCUUGCUCUUACGGGUGGCGAGUGGCGGACGGGUGAGGAAUACAUCGGAAUCUACUUUUUCGUGGGGGAUAACGUAGGGAAACUUACGCUAAUACCGCAUACGACCUACGGGUGAAAGCAGGGGAUCUUCGGACCUUGCGCGAUUGAAUGAGCCGAUGUCGGAUUAGCUAGUUGGCGGGGUAAAGGCCCACCAAGGCGACGAUCCGUAGCUGGUCUGAGAGGAUGAUCAGCCACACUGGAACUGAGACACGGUCCAGACUCCUACGGGAGGCAGCAGUGGGGAAUAUUGGACAAUGGAAGCAAGCCUGAUCCAGCCAUACCGCGUGGGUGAAGAAGGCCUUCGGGUUGUAAAGCCCUUUUGUUGGGAAAGAAAAGCAGCAGGUUAAUACCCCGCUGUUCUGACGGUACCCAAAGAAUAAGCACCGGCUAACUUCGUG
RNAcentral lists this ribosomal RNA (492 nucleotides) under uncultured bacterium. RNAcentral describes it as "partial 16S ribosomal RNA". It matches the Rfam family "Bacterial small subunit ribosomal RNA", at positions 29 to 507 of the family's 1533-position model. The record is from RNAcentral.